UGCCUUCCAGUUACAAGCUUAUAUUCCGGAAUGAAAUUUCUCACAAUUUUCUGUCCUGGUUAAAUAAACUAUGAAUCGUCCCUGUGAGUUCCACUAGUGCCAUACCAAUCAUAUACCAUGUAAUACCUGCCAGAAUGACCUUGAGCCAUGGGCUGUUCACAAUGUCUAAUGCGAGAGAACCACCAAUAUGAUCUUUGAGUCUAACACUCGUUUCUUCUCCAAGUUUUAUCCAAACUGUAAUUGCUGCUGCUGUUGCUGUUGUGAAUGGCACUAUCCCGAGUCUGGGACUACCUUGAUGUUUCUCCCUUGGUGAGAAAGCUUCAUCAUAGAAUUCCAUUGGUAAUUUGGGGAAGGAAUCAACUUCACCAACUACCAAACUGGUGUCCGCAAGUGUAGGAGUUGAUGGAGACCAAUACUCAUCGUUGCUACUUUGAUUAACUGUUGAUUUUUUGACUUGUUUCAUAGCUUCUACAACAUGUCUAAGCUUCUUAACGUUGGGUUCAAUUAGCCUUCUCCUAACUGGUACCAAAGCAUGGAUGUCUUCUGCAUCUCCUCCAAUUGGUGAUUGCCAGUAGAAAAAAUUUGAUAUAGCUCGGAUUGCUUGAAAUGCUAAUAUUCGUGCCUCUUCUGAAGCCUUAGGAUUGGUUUUGUUGAAGGCACCUUGAUAUCUGCUCUGAAAUUUGUCUAGAUCAUCAAAUAUAUUGGAGGUACGAGCACCAACUGUAUUGCCAGUACCAAUUCUAACAUUACCUCGUGGCUUCUUCGACAUUAGGAAUUCAAGUGCAGCCAAAUUCGACCUCUCAACAACUGAGAUGCAAUCAACUGGACAUGCAUCUAUAGCUUCUUGAAUUUUGGCUUCUGUAUCAGCCCAUUGAGCAACAACUCUAGCUCUUCCAUACACACAUUCAACAGCAAAUGUCUUUUCAGCCAACAAAGCACAUUUUAAGCAGCCUACACACUUUACUUCAUCAACAAACACAGCUCUUUCUUCAUUAUCUUCACCACACCAUGCCGAAUACAAAGGUUUUCCUGUAUACCCCUUUAAAUCUGCUACUUUUGUCACUUCCUUAUCAUAAGCCAUACGCGCAACAGGAUCGGAAAGAAGCGCAUAAGCUUGAUUCAGUAUAAUAGCCAUUUCAUGUCCAGAUGGUCCAGCGAUAUCUGGGUGGCAUCGCUUCUGAAGCAUCCUAUAGGCUAGCUUAAUCUGUGCCUGGUUAGAUGAACUUUCAACUCCAAAAAGAUCAUAGAGGUCAAAAUCAGUGAUUGAACUAGUAUUAGCUCUGCAUACAAUAGAGUUCUUAUAAGUAUUUUUGUUAUGGAAUUUCCAUGAAUUUGGAAAAUGAGCUCUUUGAUUUAGAAAUUUGUUUAUGCUUUUCGUGGGAACGGUUUGUAUGGGCAGAGUAGAAGAAUGCAUUUUUUUUCCACAGGAAAAUGUGGUGAAAAAG
This 1445-nucleotide unclassified non-coding RNA is filed under the name Hevea brasiliensis (rubber tree). The record is from RNAcentral. Lineage: Eukaryota; Viridiplantae; Streptophyta; Magnoliopsida; Malpighiales; Euphorbiaceae.